Molecule: ribosomal RNA, 699 nt
Filed under: Streptomyces sp. 473(2010)
Lineage: Bacteria; Bacillati; Actinomycetota; Actinomycetes; Kitasatosporales; Streptomycetaceae
Description: bacterial SSU rRNA
Rfam family: Bacterial small subunit ribosomal RNA
Source: RNAcentral
GCGAACGGGUGAGUAACACGUGGGCAAUCUGCCCUUCACUCUGGGACAAGCCCUGGAAACGGGGUCUAAUACCGGAUAACACUUUCCCUCUCAUGGGGGAAGGUUAAAAGCUCCGGCGGUGAAGGAUGAGCCCGCGGCCUAUCAGCUAGUUGGUGGGGUAAUGGCCUACCAAGGCGACGACGGGUAGCCGGCCUGAGAGGGCGACCGGCCACACUGGGACUGAGACACGGCCCAGACUCCUACGGGAGGCAGCAGUGGGGAAUAUUGCACAAUGGGCGAAAGCCUGAUGCAGCGACGCCGCGUGAGGGAUGACGGCCUUCGGGUUGUAAACCUCUUUCAGCAGGGAAGAAGCGAAAGUGACGGUACCUGCAGAAGAAGCGCCGGCUAACUACGUGCCAGCAGCCGCGGUAAUACGUAGGGCGCAAGCGUUGUCCGGAAUUAUUGGGCGUAAAGAGCUCGUAGGCGGCUUGUUGCGUCGGUUGUGAAAGCCCGGGGCUUAACCCCGGGUCUGCAGUCGAUACGGGCAGGCUAGAGUGUGGUAGGGGAGAUCNGGAAUUCCUGGUGUAGCGGUGAAAUGCGCAGAUAUCAGGAGGAACACCGGUGGCGAAGGCGGAUCUCUGGGCCAUUACUGACGCUGAGGAGCGAAAGCGUGGGGAGCGAACAGGAUUAGAUACCCUGGUAGUCCACGCCGUAAACGUU